UUAAGCGACUAAGCGUACACGGUGGAUGCCCUGGCAGUCAGAGGCGAUGAAGGACGUGCUAAUCUGCGAUAAGCGUCGGUAAGGUGAUAUGAACCGUUAUAACCGGCGAUUUCCGAAUGGGGAAACCCAGUGUGUUUCGACACACUAUCAUUAACUGAAUCCAUAGGUUAAUGAGGCGAACCGGGGGAACUGAAACAUCUAAGUACCCCGAGGAAAAGAAAUCAACCGAGAUUCCCCCAGUAGCGGCGAGCGAACGGGGAGGAGCCCAGAGCCUGAAUCAGUGUGUGUGUUAGUGGAAGCGUCUGGAAAGGCGCGCGAUACAGGGUGACAGCCCCGUACACAAAAAUGCACAUGCUGUGAGCUCGAUGAGUAGGGCGGGACACGUGGUAUCCUGUCUGAAUAUGGGGGGACCAUCCUCCAAGGCUAAAUACUCCUGACUGACCGAUAGUGAACCAGUACCGUGAGGGAAAGGCGAAAAGAACCCCGGCGAGGGGAGUGAAAAAGAACCUGAAACCGUGUACGUACAAGCAGUGGGAGCCUCUUUUAUGGGGUGACUGCGUACCUUUUGUAUAAUGGGUCAGCGACUUAUAUUCUGUAGCAAGGUUAACCGAAUAGGGGAGCCGAAGGGAAACCGAGUCUUAACUGGGCGUUAAGUUGCAGGGUAUAGACCCGAAACCCGGUGAUCUAGCCAUGGGCAGGUUGAAGGUUGGGUAACACUAACUGGAGGACCGAACCGACUAAUGUUGAAAAAUUAGCGGAUGACUUGUGGCUGGGGGUGAAAGGCCAAUCAAACCGGGAGAUAGCUGGUUCUCCCCGAAAGCUAUUUAGGUAGCGCCUCGUGAAUUCAUCUCCGGGGGUAGAGCACUGUUUCGGCAAGGGGGUCAUCCCGACUUACCAACCCGAUGCAAACUGCGAAUACCGGAGAAUGUUAUCACGGGAGACACACGGCGGGUGCUAACGUCCGUCGUGAAGAGGGAAACAACCCAGACCGCCAGCUAAGGUCCCAAAGUCAUGGUUAAGUGGGAAACGAUGUGGGAAGGCCCAGACAGCCAGGAUGUUGGCUUAGAAGCAGCCAUCAUUUAAAGAAAGCGUAAUAGCUCACUGGUCGAGUCGGCCUGCGCGGAAGAUGUAACGGGGCUAAACCAUGCACCGAAGCUGCGGCAGCGACGCUUAUGCGUUGUUGGGUAGGGGAGCGUUCUGUAAGCCUGCGAAGGUGUGCUGUGAGGCAUGCUGGAGGUAUCAGAAGUGCGAAUGCUGACAUAAGUAACGAUAAAGCGGGUGAAAAGCCCGCUCGCCGGAAGACCAAGGGUUCCUGUCCAACGUUAAUCGGGGCAGGGUGAGUCGACCCCUAAGGCGAGGCCGAAAGGCGUAGUCGAUGGGAAACAGGUUAAUAUUCCUGUACUUGGUGUUACUGCGAAGGGGGGACGGAGAAGGCUAUGUUGGCCGGGCGACGGUUGUCCCGGUUUAAGCGUGUAGGCUGGUUUUCCAGGCAAAUCCGGAAAAUCAAGGCUGAGGCGUGAUGACGAGGCACUACGGUGCUGAAGCAACAAAUGCCCUGCUUCCAGGAAAAGCCUCUAAGCAUCAGGUAACAUCAAAUCGUACCCCAAACCGACACAGGUGGUCAGGUAGAGAAUACCAAGGCGCUUGAGAGAACUCGGGUGAAGGAACUAGGCAAAAUGGUGCCGUAACUUCGGGAGAAGGCACGCUGAUAUGUAGGUGAAGCGACUUGCUCGUGGAGCUGAAAUCAGUCGAAGAUACCAGCUGGCUGCAACUGUUUAUUAAAAACACAGCACUGUGCAAACACGAAAGUGGACGUAUACGGUGUGACGCCUGCCCGGUGCCGGAAGGUUAAUUGAUGGGGUCAGCGCAAGCGAAGCUCUUGAUCGAAGCCCCGGUAAACGGCGGCCGUAACUAUAACGGUCCUAAGGUAGCGAAAUUCCUUGUCGGGUAAGUUCCGACCUGCACGAAUGGCGUAAUGAUGGCCAGGCUGUCUCCACCCGAGACUCAGUGAAAUUGAACUCGCUGUGAAGAUGCAGUGUACCCGCGGCAAGACGGAAAGACCCCGUGAACCUUUACUAUAGCUUGACACUGAACAUUGAGCCUUGAUGUGUAGGAUAGGUGGGAGGCUUAGAAGUGUGGACGCCAGUCUGCAUGGAGCCGACCUUGAAAUACCACCCUUUAAUGUUUGAUGUUCUAACGUUGACCCGUGAUCCGGGUUGCGGACAGUGUCUGGUGGGUAGUUUGACUGGGGCGGUCUCCUCCUAAAGAGUAACGGAGGAGCACGAAGGUUGGCUAAUCCUGGUCGGACAUCAGGAGGUUAGUGCAAUGGCAUAAGCCAGCUUGACUGCGAGCGUGACGGCGCGAGCAGGUGCGAAAGCAGGUCAUAGUGAUCCGGUGGUUCUGAAUGGAAGGGCCAUCGCUCAACGGAUAAAAGGUACUCCGGGGAUAACAGGCUGAUACCGCCCAAGAGUUCAUAUCGACGGCGGUGUUUGGCACCUCGAUGUCGGCUCAUCACAUCCUGGGGCUGAAGUAGGUCCCAAGGGUAUGGCUGUUCGCCAUUUAAAGUGGUACGCGAGCUGGGUUUAGAACGUCGUGAGACAGUUCGGUCCCUAUCUGCCGUGGGCGCUGGAGAACUGAGGGGGGCUGCUCCUAGUACGAGAGGACCGGAGUGGACGCAUCACUGGUGUUCGGGUUGUCAUGCCAAUGGCACUGCCCGGUAGCUAAAUGCGGAAGAGAUAAGUGCUGAAAGCAUCUAAGCACGAAACUUGCCCCGAGAUGAGUUCUCCCUGACCCUUUAAGGGUCCUGAAGGAACGUUGAAGACGACGACGUUGAUAGGCCGGGUGUGUAAGCGCAGCGAUGCGUUGAGCUAACCGGUACUAAUGAACCGUGAGGCUUAACCUU
RNAcentral lists this ribosomal RNA (2902 nucleotides) under Escherichia coli KTE196. RNAcentral describes it as "bacterial LSU rRNA". It matches the Rfam family "Bacterial large subunit ribosomal RNA". Lineage: Bacteria; Pseudomonadati; Pseudomonadota; Gammaproteobacteria; Enterobacterales; Enterobacteriaceae. The record is from RNAcentral.